RNAcentral lists this long non-coding RNA (1448 nucleotides) under Equus caballus (horse). Its description in RNAcentral is "lncRNA (ENSECAG00000056671.1)". The record is from RNAcentral. Lineage: Eukaryota; Metazoa; Chordata; Mammalia; Perissodactyla; Equidae.
UAUUAUUAUUAUUUGCUGCCUGCGUGCCUGCUAAGUGUCCAGCACUGUUCUGAUCACUUUACACAUAAUCACCUCCUUUAUUCCUCACCCAAACCUGGGGUCCCAGGUGACAAAGGUUCUCGCAGGUGUGGCAGGACUGGGCAGUAGAUGGGGGAGGAAUCCAGGUGUUGCCAGUGAACCUCGCGGGUGUACAGCUGUUCACACACAGAUGUUGGGGCCACCAUAUAUUUUGAGCGUUGACUGCUAAGGACUUAGGGAACUGAACCUGCGGGUGUCAGAGUGACAGCUGCAUGGGGAGCUAAGGGUUAGAUACUGGAGUAAGGAAUACGCACCGAGGGCCGGAUGCUGGUCUGCAUUGCCCAUCAUCCGGGGGAGGCUGGAGUAUGAGGGUGGGUAUGGCCAGGGGAGUGUUGGGGCUUCAGAAGAAUUGGGGGUGGGAUAUCCCCACGUUGGAGGUGGGCCUCUUCGGGUACUGGGUGUGCUGGCUGUGUUCCGACUGAAGAUGAGUUCAUAGAUAUUGGAAAAGGGACGUGCUGCCCAUGGGGGUGUUUUGGCAUUUGGGUGUCAGCAUCUUAGGUGAUGGCCAGUGUUUGGGAUAUGAUGGCAAUCGAACAUUGGAAUGUCCACACAGGACGUGACUAGGGAUGGGGUAGGAGCUGGUUUGGGUGUGAGUAUGUUGCCUAUUGUCUAAAGGGAAGUUGGGGUGUCAACAUUAUUGGAAGUAGGGGGUCUGAAUGUCUGACGCGUUGGGGUUCUUCAGUAUUGGCCAGUCUGGGUAAUGAGGUAUCGGUGCUGGCUGAUGGGAAAUUGGGAUUUUAGAUGCUAGAGUAUUAUCCUACGCCCCAAAUGUUGAUAUGGUAUUAGAUGUUGGAUAAUGGGGCGCUGUCUUGUUCAAGUAUUGCAGGGUCAAUGUGCUGGGUGUGGGCUUGUGGGAGAUUGAGAUAGCAGAUGCUGGAGCACAGGGUGUCCGCGGUGUAUUGGGUGUGGCCUCCCGUCUGGUGAUCCUAUAACUCCAAAUGUUACCAAGGCUGGAAAAGCGGUGGCAGUUGAUACACACAGGCACGCACCGGUGAAGCAGCCACCUCCCCACCUCCCUGGGGAGAGGAGGUGCUCCCAGGAUGCAGCCCGGGUAGAGUCUCUGGUGUCGGCCCCUGAAGCUUGGAGAGGCCAGAGGAACUGCCCUUGGUGUCACCCUGGUUGACCAGCAGGACUUUUUGGGCCGCAAGGUCGCGGAGGCGCUUUAGACCUGAGAUCCAACUUCUCUGACCCAGCUGAGCAAGGGCCAGCUCGCCGUGCAUUCAAUAGACAUUUAUUGAGCGCUGACUGUGUGCAGGUACUGUGCUGAGAUCUGGGAACACAGCAUGAACAGAACAGGUGAAAAUCUCUGCCCUUGCAGAUGUGAUGGAAAAUAAACAAGAAUAACAUGGAAAUGACACGUCGCAUGUGAG